GGCGGCAUGACCAAGUGGUAAGGCAGGGGACUGCAAAUCCUUUACCCCCAGUUCAAAUCUGGGUGCCACCU
Molecule: transfer RNA, 71 nt
Filed under: Zea mays
Lineage: Eukaryota; Viridiplantae; Streptophyta; Magnoliopsida; Poales; Poaceae
Rfam family: tRNA
About the family: Transfer RNA (tRNA) molecules are approximately 80 nucleotides in length. Their secondary structure includes four short double-helical elements and three loops (D, anti-codon, and T loops).
Source: Rfam by way of RNAcentral